GGUCAAGCUACAAAGGGCGCAUGGUGAAUGCCUUGGCAUCAGGAGCCGAUGAAGGACGUGAUAAGCUGCGAUAAGCUUCGGGUAGGCGCACAUA
RNAcentral lists this ribosomal RNA (94 nucleotides) under Clostridium saudiense. Its description in RNAcentral is "partial 23S ribosomal RNA". It matches the Rfam family "Bacterial large subunit ribosomal RNA", at positions 1 to 94 of the family's 2925-position model. The record is from RNAcentral. Lineage: Bacteria; Bacillati; Bacillota; Clostridia; Eubacteriales; Clostridiaceae.